This 371-nucleotide ribosomal RNA is filed under the name uncultured bacterium. RNAcentral's name for it is "bacterial SSU rRNA". It matches the Rfam family "Bacterial small subunit ribosomal RNA", at positions 527 to 896 of the family's 1533-position model. The record is from RNAcentral.
GAWGKGUGCAWGCGUUACUCGGAAUUACUGGGCGUAAAGCGUGCGUAGGUGGUUCGUUAAGUYUGAUGUGAAAGCCCUGGGCUCAACCUGGGAAUGKCAUUGGAUACUGGCGAUCUAGAGUGCGGUAGAGGGCAGUGGAAUUCCCGGUGUAGCAGUGAAAUGCGUAGAGAUCGGGAGGAACAUCUGUGGCGAAGGCGACUGCCUGGACCAGCACUGACACUGAGGCACGAAAGCGUGGGGAGCAAACAGGAUUAGAUACCCUGGUAGUCCACGCCGUAAACGAUGAGUGCUAGAUGCUGCGGGUAUUGACCCCCGCGGUGUCGCAGCCAACGCGUUAAGCACUCCGCCUGGGGAGUACGGCCGCAAGGCUR